GUCCGCAAAGUCAAGAAGAACUUCCAAUCUUGCAAACUCCAAAUGUCUGUACUGGCACAACAAACUCUACCAAUUCAGCAUUUGUUCCCGACAAAUGCCCCU
This is a non-coding RNA of Notechis scutatus (mainland tiger snake), 102 nucleotides long. NCBI's taxonomy places the organism in Eukaryota, Metazoa, Chordata, Lepidosauria, Squamata, Elapidae. The record is from RefSeq and is a predicted model, not a curated record.